AAAUAUAUCUAUUACACUGUUUUGGACAGAAACCUAAUAACUAUUUCUUCUCAAUUUUUUUAUUCUUCAAAACUUUCAACAACGGAUCUCUUGGGUUCUCGCAUCGAUGAAGAACGCAGCGAAUUGCGAUACGUAUCAUGACUUGCAGACGUGAAUCAUCAAUCUUUGAACGCACAUUGCGCCUUGAGGUAUUCCUCAAGGCAUGCCUGUUUGAGCGUCGGCUCCCUUCAAACCUCCAGGUUUGGUGUUGCCUCCGAAAUUCCACAGUUGGUCGCAAAUACGUUUACUUUCAACUCCCUUUUUUCGCCCCUCAAAUCAGG
This 320-nucleotide unclassified non-coding RNA is filed under the name [Candida] sp. KY-814. RNAcentral's name for it is "Candida sp. KY-814 partial contains ITS1, 5.8S ribosomal RNA and ITS2". The stretch from base 71 to 220 matches the Rfam family "5.8S ribosomal RNA". The record is from RNAcentral. Lineage: Eukaryota; Fungi; Ascomycota; Saccharomycetes; Saccharomycetales.